This 405-nucleotide ribosomal RNA is filed under the name uncultured bacterium. Its description in RNAcentral is "bacterial SSU rRNA". It matches the Rfam family "Bacterial small subunit ribosomal RNA", at positions 354 to 776 of the family's 1533-position model. The record is from RNAcentral.
GUGGGGAAUAUUGGACAAUGGGCGCAAGCCUGAUCCAGCCAUGCCGCGUGAGUGAUGAAGGCCCUAGGGUUGUAAAGCUCUUUCAACGGUGAAGAUAAUGACGGUAGCCGUAGAAGAAGCCCCGGCUAACUUCGUGCCAGCAGCCGCGGUAAUACGAAGGGGGCAAGCGUUGUUCGGAAUAACUGGGCGUAAAGCGCACGUAGGCGGAUUGAUAAGUUAGAGGUGAAAUCCCAGGGCUCAACCCUGGAACGGCCUUUAAUACUGUCAGUCUAGAGAUCGAGAGAGGUGAGUGGAAUUCCGAGUGUAGAGGUGAAAUUCGUAGAUAUUCGGAGGAACACCAGUGGCGAAGGCGGCUCACUGGCUCGAUACUGACGCUGAGGUGCGAAAGCGUGGGGAGCAAACAGG